Molecule: long non-coding RNA, 831 nt
Filed under: Taeniopygia guttata (zebra finch)
Lineage: Eukaryota; Metazoa; Chordata; Aves; Passeriformes; Estrildidae
Description: lncRNA (ENSTGUG00000023024.1)
Source: RNAcentral
GUGACUAAAGUUUCCUGUAGUGACUGAACCUACUUUGAAGGAAGCACAAGAGAAACUGAGAACUUGCUGGAGUUAGUUUAACUUGGUUAGAAAUUUUCAUGUUUCUCUGUAUAUCUGCUCUGUGACUGUUUCCUCUCAGAGGUUCAAGAGCCCUACAUUGACUGCUCUACAGAGUGAGAGCAGCAUGCGUUUCUCACUUAUUUUGGCAUGUUUGGGAUACACUGGGGAUGUGUGGGAAUAGAGCAGCAAUUUAAUUUUUUUUUCUCAAGGGUUGUUUUGUUGAACAAAAUUACUCUUUACAGAUUACUGUCUCUGUUUCACCUGAUACAGUGCCUCCCAGCUACCACCAGCUACCAGCUACCAUGAUCAGGACUUCUUACAAAGAACAUGAAAAGUGUCUAUAGAGCUGUUAAAUAGCAAAAAGACACCAGUUUCAUGAAGAAUGUCAUCAAGGAGGACAUGGGAAGGGCAAAUUUUGGCUCAUCUACUACAUUGGCAGCUCUAAGAAAAGGAGACCUCAAACAUGGGACAGCUAUGGGAUCUACUAAAAGAAAAUGACAGUCACAGAAGAAGAGUAUGCUUAUCUCUGCUUAUGAUACAGAAGAUAGUGGAGGAUGUCAGCCAAAAGCCUAAUAUGAGACAAUUUAUACUGAGGAGCAUGGGAAGAUGCACCAGAGAAGGUCACGCUUUCAGUAAAUGUAGUAGAACCUGAACAUUCCAAAGUUCCCUGCAUCUGGCUCAAAAGGGGAGAAGCUUCUGCGGGUAUGAAGAUCCUGGGUUAGAUUCCCAUCACAGACCACUGUGAAACACUGUCUUUCAAAAUCAACACUC